Non-coding RNA from Microgenomates group bacterium, 71 nucleotides. The record is from Rfam.
AGGGCUAUGAUGCAACGGUAGCAUGAAGGUCUCCAAAACCUUUCAUCUAGGUUCAAAUCCUAGUAGCCCUG